ACGCUCGACACCUACAGGAGGCAGCAUGGGGAAUAUUGCACAAUGGGGGGAACCCUGAUGCAGCGACGCCGCGUGAGGGAAGAAGGUUUUCGGAUUGUAAACCUCUGUCUUUGGUGACGAUAAUGACGGUAGCCAAAGAGGAAGCUACGGCUAACUACGUGCCAGCAGCCGCGGUAAUCUGAGCGGGCUGGCAAGGC
RNAcentral lists this ribosomal RNA (197 nucleotides) under uncultured bacterium. Its description in RNAcentral is "partial 16S ribosomal RNA". It matches the Rfam family "Bacterial small subunit ribosomal RNA", at positions 328 to 539 of the family's 1533-position model. The record is from RNAcentral.